AUUAAUUAGGCAGAGGAGUGCUUUGCAUUUAGAAUGCAAGAACGUGGGUGAAAAUCCCACAGUUAAUA
This 68-nucleotide transfer RNA is filed under the name Diaphanosoma dubium. RNAcentral's name for it is "tRNA-Leu". It matches the Rfam family "tRNA". From Rfam's summary of the family: Transfer RNA (tRNA) molecules are approximately 80 nucleotides in length. Lineage: Eukaryota; Metazoa; Arthropoda; Branchiopoda; Diplostraca; Sididae. The record is from RNAcentral.